GACGAACGCUGGCGGCGUGCUUAACACAUGCAAGUCGAACGGAAAGGCCUCUUUCGGGGGGUACUCGAGUGGCGAACGGGUGAGUAACACGUGAGUAACCUGCCCUUGACUUUGGGAUAACUUCAGGAAACUGGGGCUAAUACCGGAUAGGAGCUCCUGCUGCAUGGUGGGGGUUGGAAAGUUUCGGCGGUUGGGGAUGGACUCGCGGCUUAUCAGCUUGUUGGUGGGGUAGUGGCUUACCAAGGCUUUGACGGGUAGCCGGCCUGAGAGGGUGACCGGCCACAUUGGGACUGAGAUACGGCCCAGACUCCUACGGGAGGCAGCAGGGGGGAAGAUUGCACAAGGGGUGGAAGCCUGAUGCAGCAACGCCGUGUGCGGGAUGACGGCCUUCGGGUUGGAAACCGCUUUCGCUCAUGACGAAGCUUUGUGUGACGGUAGUGGGUAAAGAAGCACCGGCUAACUACGUG
RNAcentral lists this ribosomal RNA (467 nucleotides) under uncultured bacterium. Its description in RNAcentral is "partial 16S ribosomal RNA". It matches the Rfam family "Bacterial small subunit ribosomal RNA", at positions 28 to 507 of the family's 1533-position model. The record is from RNAcentral.